Sarcophilus harrisii (Tasmanian devil) is the source of this 2684-nucleotide long non-coding RNA. RefSeq lists it as uncharacterized. The record is from RefSeq and is a predicted model, not a curated record. The transcript is spliced from 2 exons. NCBI's taxonomy places the organism in Eukaryota, Metazoa, Chordata, Mammalia, Dasyuromorphia, Dasyuridae.
CAGUGACCUAGGCCAGGGCAGGGGGACAAGGAGGGGUCCGUGGCUUUCUCCCUCCCUCCAUCUGGCCCUCAGCGUGAUCCCCUCCCCCACCACACCCUAUUCUCCCUCUCAUUCAUGGUUUGGUGGACAAGGAGGGUCAAGGCCUGGAGGAGCUGAGCAAAUCUCCGAGCUGCAGCCCAAAUGAACCUUCCCAGCACUCAUUACCUGGCUUCUGUGGCCACAGGGAGCUACAGAUAUUAGGAGCACCAAAGCGGGGAGCUGGCGGGCAGCACCAAGUAGUUUGUAGGAAAGACAACUGAGCUGGGGCGGCCUUUGUGGUCUCAUUGCCUGCCCCCUCCUGCCCUGUUCCCACCCUGUCAGUCUAUCAGGCUGCCCCAGGGACCCCAACUCUGGGCACAGAUCCACACCAGCCUCUGCCAGGAGACCCAAGGCCAUGCUCCGUCCUCAGGGUGGGCAUGAGCCUGCCUGCUGUUGGUGCUCUCCUUCCAGAAAGUCCCCCCCUCCCCAAGGCUUCUGGGUGCACGGAGAGGACCCUGAAUGCGCUGAGGUUCAAGUACCCAGGCCCACCUGGUCCCCACAGAGGUGCUACCCUCCCUGGGUAACUUGUUCUCUGCCGAGGCUCAUCUCUCUACCAUGAGAAAGCGGGAGGAAAAGGGGGCUCAAGGUCCCUUCUAGCUCUCAGUCUGGGCUCCUCUGAUCCCCUGAGAUCCUUCCAGCUCUAGAGGUAGAGUCUGAAGAACAGAGACUCCUCCCCGGUGUGCUGACUGCCUCGUGGUAAAGACCAAUGCCGAGAGGUGGGAAAGGGGCCAAGGGCACAAGGAAUGACACCAGUUUUAGGUGGGCUAUAAAUAAUCUUAACUGUGCUCCAAGUAUGUGAGAACCUCGCCCAAAAGGGAGAGAGGAAAUGGUUCUACGUCCAAGAUUGCUACUUCAAAUUAAAUGGAAGAACGGACGGCUCACAAUAAAAGAACCAGAAGAGUUCAAUUUAUCACGGGCUUAAAAGCAACAAGAAACCCUUCAUGAGACACUCGGUCGUCUCACCUGGCACUUCUCGGGAAGGACAACCGGCCACACAAACACCAGCAGUUUAAGCCUCGAGGGCUGUGGCGGAGGGUCAGGCCCCUCCGAAUUCAGAACCAGGUAUGGGAAGGAAAAGACCCAAUUCAGUGCAGCUGCCCAAAGCAAGAGGAGGAAAGGCCAGUAAAUGGAGAAGAGAUGGAAACAGUGCAUCAAGAUUUCUAAAGCAAAAGCUUUCCUGUCAGUGACAUAUACUCACAGAGCAGGGAAAUGGUGAAUAAACAUCCUCAUCUUCAGGAAAGGAAAGAGAAUGGAAUCUGCAAAGCACAUUUCAGGGACACUUGACGCUAUCAUCGAAGAGAAAGCCGGUGAGCAGAAAUGGAAGUGGUGACGGCAGUCGCCAAGAACUCGGCUUGGCUCCCCCCAAAAUAAGGCAGGUUGGCCCAUCUCUAUUUUAAUUUUUUUUCUAACAGGAUAACUGAACAGGUAGACUAGAAGGAUACUAUAAAUGUGGUUUAUCAGAUGCUACCAUUUUGUCGUGGAUAAAGGCCUAGGCAAAAUCAUGCUCCAAUUUUAAGACGACACAAAAUUAGAAGGGAUGGCCGACACAAUGGAUGAUAAAGUUGGCAUCCCCAAAGAGCCUGGAAGGCCAGAAUGUUCGGAUGAAUCUAGGGAGUCGAUGUAAAAUCUUACAUUUGGGCAAGGCCUGGUUCGACAGGCAUCCUGCUUGGGAAAGGGCUGGCUGGCUUAGUGGGUUGAGUCCAGUGUGAUUAAAAGGCAGCCUCAAAAAGCUAACACAACUUCCAUCAACAUAAUGGGAGGUAGAACUACAGAUGUACAAAGGUGUCUGGUUCCUUUCCUUCUGGCCGGGCCAGACCACAUUGAAGUAAAGUCCGGGCACUGAGAAGCUGGAAAGGGCGCGAGUGUCCUCCCAGAUGAGAGCCAACAGAUCUAACCCUGGAUGAGGGCACAUUAAAGAAAGCCUGGAGAAGUCACCUCCAAGGGGACCUAAGCGAAGAAACAGACUUAUGUCUGCCAAGUGUAGACAGGAGAAGGUGGCACAGAAGCAAGUCUAGGCUCAAAAGAAGGGAAAGCUCGCCUCGCCAGUUUAGCCAGUCAAAACUGUAAUGGGGGAUCUUGGGAACUACCGGGGUCUUCCUUCUUAGAAGCUUUCAAGCCAAGACAGGAAGAUCAAGUGAUGGGUAAGCUGAAUUAUGGGUAAGCUGAAUUGUGGAUUUUUCAAGUCGGGGUUGACUUAAUAGACAAAUGUGAGGAGGGAGAACCUUGUGAGCAAAGAGGAAGCACUCUGUACAAAGACAUGGUCAAGUAGGAGAUGGAAUGGCGUCCACAUAGAACAAGCAGACCAGUUUGGAGAGAAAAUGAGAGAGAGUUAAGGAUUCCAGGGUUUCACACCUGGACUAGAAAUACGGCCAUACCCUCAAAAGAGAGAAGGAAGCAGGAGUGAGAAAAACAAACCCAUGUGAGACGCCCUGGGAUUGAGAAGGCUACAGAACAUUGCUGGUGGGGAGAUGGUGAGGAUUUGUAUUCAAAGCAAUUACAAUAGAUUGAAUCUAUUAGGAUCUGCGCCCCCUCAGAGCACCUCAUUCUCCAGUCACUAAGGAUUGAUGUGAGCUGUCAGGGUAGAUUCCCAACCCCCACCUCAGAAU